Molecule: ribosomal RNA, 547 nt
Filed under: Merope tuber
Lineage: Eukaryota; Metazoa; Arthropoda; Insecta; Mecoptera; Meropeidae
Description: SSU rRNA
Rfam family: Eukaryotic small subunit ribosomal RNA
Source: RNAcentral
UAUUAAAGUUGUUGCGGUUAAAAAGCUCGUAGUUGAAUCUGUGUCCCACACUGUCGGUACACCGCUCGGCUUAACUGGCAUGUCUUGUGGGACGUCCUACCGGUGGGUUUAGCCCGUCAAACGGCGGCCCAACUAAAAAUCCUAUCACGGUGCCUCUUUACCGAGUGUCGAGAUGGGCCGGUACGUUUACUUUGAACAAAUUAGAGUGCUUAAAGCAGGCUAAAUUUUGCCUGAAUAUUCUGUGCAUGGAAUAAUGGAAUAGGACCUCGUUUCUAUUUUGUUGGUUUUCGGAAGCUCGAGGUAAUGAUUAAUAGGGACAACUGGGGGCAUUCGUAUUGCGACGUUAGAGGUGAAAUUCUUGGACCGUCGCAAGACGUACAGAAGCGAAAGCAUUUGCCAAAUGUGUUUUCAUCAAUCAAGAACGAAAGUUAGAGGUUCGAAGGCGAUCAGAUACCGCCCUAGUUCUAACCAUAAACGAUGCCAGCUAGCGAUCUGCGCACGUUCCUCCGAUGACUCGGUAGGCAGCUUCCGGGAAACCAAAGCUUUU